AUGCCGCGGGCCAGGCAGGCAGUCCCGGAUCUGCAGCCUCUCCUGGGCCGGGUGUCUCCGUCAUUUCCCGUGUGCUGGGGAGGACUUAAGCUCUUGACCAGUGAGUCAUCGGGGCCGCCGGUUCUGACCCCGGCUCUUCCCGGUGUCUGUUCGCAGGCACUGCCUCGCCCUUGGCCGCGCCGGCCGCAGCAUACCCAGUUGCUCCGCGGCGGAAGCGGGGCGGGGCCGGGCCGGGCCGGGCGCGCAGGGACUGAGGGUGGGCGGCCCCCGCCGGCGACCGCCCCUGCCGUGACUGCUCGUCGCCGUCUCCGUCGCCUCCCGCCACUGCUCCGCGCCAUGAGCGGUGGUGGGGCCGAGGUCCUCGGCCCGCCGCCCGCUGAGGGCGAGCGCCCCCUCAGCCCCUCCGAAGGCUCGCCGCUCUCCCUGGCCUCCCGCUCCAGCUCCCCGGGCUGUGAGGAAGAGGAGCGGCUGGCGGCCUCUCGGAGCCCGCCAGGCCAUAGGAGGGCUGAACAUUCUGAAAUAGCAGGAAGAAGAAAAGUGUCACUUUUGAAAGAUAACCUUUCACCAUGGGAAGAAUGGUUCAUUAGCAAAGAGAAGGAGUUGCGUGCCCGCUUACAAGCUAGAGCUGCAGAGGUGAUUACAUCCAAUUAUUUUGAUUCUAAGUCUAAUAAAAGAUUGCAUAUUUAGGACUUCCUUUUCGUUGGUUGUCAAAACACAAGUAGUUGGUUUUUUUAUUUUUUUUUAUGUCUUAGUCCUCCAUAGUGCUUGUGUUUGUCAGUGCUGGCAUGAUUCAUGUUAUGUGCAUUUUCUUUUACUACAUGUUAUGCUUCAUUGAACUGGUGCUGUAUAAUAUUUAGAUUAUCCAACUGUCAGGUAAUGGUUCGAUGUUAGAAGAUUAAAACAUUUAUAUAAUUACUACAUUGAUUUUCAGCAUGGGUAUGUACGCCUGCAUGUGGGUUGUAGAAGAAAAUGGGACGUGUGCUGAUUAUAAAUAUGCCAGGCUGCUUGGUUAGUUUUGUGACACAGUGCUGUUACCCACUUAGCAUGUACAGUAAUUUCACAAUUAUACGGCACACUUCUGGGUGUCGGCAAAUUUCCAAACUUUUUCCAUAUAUAAGACGCACUGGAUUAUAAGGCGCACCUUUUUUUUGCAGCAAGGAUCCACGCACAACAAAGUAACGAAUUGCUAACAGAAUCGCGCAAUCGCGGGUUUACUGGCAGGUGCUCAAUUUGCAAACAUUUUUCACGGAUUGGCGUAACCUUUAAACGCAACCUGAAAAGGAAUUAAAACACUAAAAAAAAAAACCCAAAGAAAAAUCAAUCACUUUUAUUAAACCUGCAGCUCCACUCUUGCGCAGGUGAGACCCAGGGAGGUGAGGGCAGCGGGAAAGUUUCCUGGUGAGCGGCAGAGCCCCCCGAGUGCCGUGCUGGCCGGACCGGUGCCGGGGUGGCCCAGGCGCCUAGGGCUGUGGGAUACUCGGUGCUGCUGCCCCCCACCCUGGGCAGUGUUCCCGGGUGCCGCGGGCCCUGGAAUCCUGCAGCCGCCGUUCUCCUGCACCCUGCAGCUGGCACCGGGCGGGCCCCACUGCUCACCGGCCAGGCUUGUGCCCUGCCCCGGGACGUGGAUGCGGCCCACGUUUGCCUCCGCACCCCGGGACCCUGCGGUAGAAAAAACCUCUCUCCUACACGUUCGGGCCAGCUAGUGCCAGUGACCCCUGGAAGGAAAAAAAAGGAAACCACAACCGUCCAUCCCAACCACUCAAACCCCCCCAGCAAUUGAGACAUUGAGAGCACCCACCCAUCUCUUUUGUCUUGAGCAAUUAAAAGCUAAGGGAGCUGCCCUGCCAGCUUUGUUAGCAUGAUAAUGGGAAAAAUUUCUCCACAGAGGGAAAAAGUACUCUGCCUGCUCGUGGUCAUUUGAUUGUGAGCUUCAUGUUUGUUGCUGCACAAUGUGAAACAGAAAUUGUUUCGAGAUCCCUUCAAUACUCAAACUUUUUCAAUAUAUAAGGGGAACUGGAUUAUAAGGCACACUUCUGGGUUUCAAUCAAAAUUUUAGGCUUUAAGGUACGCCUUAUAGUCAUGAAAUUACUGUAAUUUUACAACUGUUUGGUGUCCUUUUCCAGGAUAGGGAUCCCUGUUACAGCAUUUUUUUCCCCUCAUUCUAUCUUUUGCCCCCUUGCAGAUGAGCAGUUCUUGAGAACCAGGGCUGGGAUACAAUUAAGUGAGAGCACUCUGUCUUGAUUACUCUGUUUGUAGUUGCAGUUUGGUUAAAUUAUACUGUUGUUAAAAAUCCAAUGGGAAGUAUUGGGUAGUGAUUAGAACAAUCACAUGAAAGUUAGAUAAUUUCUCGCUUUAGUUACUGAUUAACUAUUUGACCUUGGAUGUUUUCCUAGCCUUUCUGUGAUUAUCUGUAAAGUGAAUAUAGCAUAUAACUGUUUUAUGUAUGCUACCUCAUGUUGUUUAUGAAACACCUACCACUGGAAGGUUCGGGAACAAAAUUUUACAGGUCAACAGUACACUAAAGUAGUUUGUUAAAUUUGAGGAAUAUGCUUUGAUCCAUUAAUCCCCAUCCACCAAACAUUUUGUGAUUUCCCAAUUAUAUUCUGGAUUGGUAAUGGAAAUGUAAGCUAGCAGAUAUCUUUCAACUAAGUAUUAAGAAAAUAAUAGAACAAGCAUUACUUAAAGCUAUGUAGAAAAUAGUCGUAUAGGUAAAUUUUCUUAGUUUGUAAGAUUUUGAAAACAUUAGAUGUUAAACUGCAGCAAGACAGUAUGAAAAACUUAUAUUUGGGGGGGAAAUAUAAUCAACAUUUUUGUAAGAUGCCAGAAGAGAAUAUGUGAUAUUUAUAUAAGAAAAUAUUGCUACAUUUACAGUAAUUUCAUGAAUACAAGCUGCACUGAGUGUAAGCCGCAUCUCUGGGUGCUGGCAAAUAUUUCGUUCUUUGUCCAUAAAUAAGCCGCACCUGAGUAUAAGCCGCUCUGUCGUUCGCAGCGAGGACCCGCGUGCAGCAAAGUUGCCAAAUAGUAACAGAACCGCGGCAUGGCGGGGUUUACUGACUCAGCUCGGGCCGUGCGGGCUCGGCCUGCUCAGGGCUGCCGACGGCGCCAGGUGGCUCAGCUCGGCGCUGCCGCUCAGGGCCGGCCACCGCUGCCACUGGGCUCAGUCACCAUGACCCGGCGCUGCCCCAUGGUGGCAGGCAGGGACGGAGCCCGCUCCCGUGGUGGCGGGCGGGGACGGAGCACCCCACCUCCUCCCCGGGCUGUGGCAAUAGCGGCACGGGGCCCCCGCCGCCUCGCCCCCCCUUCUCUCCCCCGGGCUGCAGCAGAGGAGGGAAGGAGAGAGCUCUCCCUCCUCUCUCCCUGCCCCCCGUGCUGCCUGCAGGGAGCCAGGCUCCACCCGCGGUGCAACAGAGUAACAAUUUGUAACAAUCGCGAAAUGCCGGCUUUUACUGGCAACUGCUUGGCUCGGCGCCCUGGCUGGCACUUCUGAGUUUGUAAAUGUCAGAAAAUUAUUCACAUAUUGGCCACUCCUGAGUAUAAGCCGCAUUUCCGGUUUGGGAACAAAAUCUUAGUCAAAAUGGUGCGGCUUGUAUUCGUGAAAUUACUGUACAUAUUAAAAGCAUUCUAAAGUCAGAAACAACCGUAUAGUCCCAGAUCUUCUGCUGACAUUUAUACCAAGUCUGCCUUGAAUGUCAAAAAUGUGGAUAAAUGGAGUGGAAUUAGAUUGAGUCUUCUAAGGUGCUUACACUGCCAUCAGCUUUUACAGAAACUGAGAUCCCUGCAAUGCAGAUGUCUUGGAACUCAAGAGAAGUUAUUUGCUGUAACUUUGCCUCAUUACAGCAACAACUGCAUUUUCAAACGGACUUAGUAUUGUGGGGUUUUGAGCUUGCUGUAAGCUUUCUGUUGCUGUCCUACUAAACUGAAAUUCAAUGUCCUAAGAAAAGGAGGUUUUCAGUGAAGCUGACUGUAGUGUAGGAACCAUAAAAUCAGUUUCAUGGAAAUAAUUUCAUCUGUCUGUAUUUGAAAGUAUGAAUUUUCAUUGAAAAUUAGCACUUAGUGUUAAUGCUACUGCUGGAAAAGCUAGAUGUCUCAAAUUGUUUCCUUAGUUAUGUGUUUUCUUUUAACUUCACUGGAGAGAUACAAAUGAUUGCAUAUAUACUGUAUGUCAUAUAAGUAUACUUUGAAUUUUCUUCUCUCAUCUUCAAAAUAAAACACCUGUUUCAAAAUCUGCUAGAAUCUGCAAUGAUUUUGGCUUUAGUAAGCCUUGAGUUAAGCCCUAAAGUUCUAGUAGUUCUAGUACUACAAAUCACCAGUGAAUAAUAUUUCACUUAGCUUUUGAUACCUUUCACAGUGCAGAGCAGUACACAGUACAAAUUUUAAAUAUUGUGGGAAAGUACUGCUGCAAAUUAGGAGUCUGCUGACUAAAAAGGCAUUUCAAUAAACUGAGG
RNAcentral lists this long non-coding RNA (4445 nucleotides) under Catharus ustulatus (Swainson's thrush). RNAcentral describes it as "lncRNA (ENSCUSG00005005349.1)". The record is from RNAcentral. Lineage: Eukaryota; Metazoa; Chordata; Aves; Passeriformes; Turdidae.